AGUGAACGCUGGCGGUAGGCCUAACACAUGCAAGUCGAACGGCAGCACAGUAAGAGCUUGCUCUUACGGGUGGCGAGUGGCGGACGGGUGAGGAAUACAUCGGAAUCUACUUUUUCGUGGGGGAUAACGUAGGGAAACUUACGCUAAUACCGCAUACGACCUACGGGUGAAAGCAGGGGAUCUUCGGACCUUGCGCGAUUGAAUGAGCCGAUGUCGGAUUAGCUAGUUGGCGGGGUAAAGGCCCACCAAGGCGACGAUCCGUAGCUGGUCUGAGAGGAUGAUCAGCCACACUGGAACUGAGACACGGUCCAGACUACUACGGGAGGCAGCAGUGGGGAAUAUUGGACAAUGGGCGCAAGCAUGAUCCAGCCAUACCGCGUGGGUGAAGAAGGCCUUCGGGUUGUAAAGCCCUUUUGUUGGGAAAGAAAAGCAGCAGGUUAAUACCCCGCUGUUCUGACGGUACCCAAAGAAUAAGCACCGGCUAACUUCGUG
This 492-nucleotide ribosomal RNA is filed under the name uncultured bacterium. RNAcentral describes it as "partial 16S ribosomal RNA". It matches the Rfam family "Bacterial small subunit ribosomal RNA", at positions 29 to 507 of the family's 1533-position model. The record is from RNAcentral.